CAUUAUGCAGCAACUACAUGGAUUGUUAGUCACAUACUUGUAUUAAUGACAACCUCUUGUUUUGUGUUAUUUAUUGAUUGAUUCAAGAUGAAAAUCAGGCCAGGUUCAAGAGACUUGGGCAGACAUUCACUGACCCCAUGACAGAAGUGUACCUGCUGUUCUUCCAAGCCACCGUACCAACUUUCACUUCUUUCAACUUGCUGCUUCAGAGAGAGCAGUCAUCAAUAUUUUUGUUACAUGAUGAGAUGGUGAAAUUCGUACGCAAGCUAUGUUCCAAGUUUAUGGUUCCAGCAGCUCUGCAGUGCCAUGAGGAGCCUUGUGAAAUUGCCUUUAAAGAAAAGGCAAACCAUUUACCAGGAAGAAAGUUGAACAUUGGGUUCACAACCAGGGCUAA
Coregonus clupeaformis (lake whitefish) is the source of this 394-nucleotide long non-coding RNA. RefSeq lists it as uncharacterized. NCBI's taxonomy places the organism in Eukaryota, Metazoa, Chordata, Actinopteri, Salmoniformes, Salmonidae. The transcript is spliced from 3 exons. The record is from RefSeq and is a predicted model, not a curated record.